This 445-nucleotide ribosomal RNA is filed under the name uncultured bacterium. RNAcentral describes it as "partial 16S ribosomal RNA". It matches the Rfam family "Bacterial small subunit ribosomal RNA", at positions 354 to 796 of the family's 1533-position model. The record is from RNAcentral.
GUGAGGAAUAUUGGUCAAUGGACGAGAGUCUGAACCAGCCAAGUAGCGUGAAGGAUGACUGCCCUAUGGGUUGUAAACUUCUUUUAUAAGGGAAUAAAGUGAGGGACGUGUCCCUUUUUGUAUGUACCUUAUGAAUAAGGAUCGGCUAACUCCGUGCCAGCAGCCGCGGUAAUACGGAGGAUCCGAGCGUUAUCCGGAUUUAUUGGGUUUAAAGGGAGCGUAGGUUGACGUAUAAGUCAGGUGUGAAAGUUUACGGCUCAACCGUGAAAUUGCAGUUGAUACUGUAUGUCUUGAGUGUACAAGAGGUGGGCGAAAUUCGUGGUGUAGCGGUGAAAUGCUUAGAUAUCACGAAGAACUCCAAUUGCGAAGGCAGCUCACUGGGGUACAACUGACACUGAGGCUCGAAAGUGUGGGGAUCAAACAGGAUUAGAAACCCGAGUAGUCC